CCUACAUAAUAACCUUAGAAGAAGGGGUUUGGAGAGCUUCCGGUUUGACCAGUGGAGGUACUGGGAGGUUGGCAUGCCUGGAGAGAGCAUGGACGCCCCACGCAUCUUGCCCUAUGCGUCUCUUCCAUCUGGCUCUUCUUGAGUUGUAUCCUUUAUAGUAAAUCGGUAAUCUGGUGUGAAUCAUGGUGACACAGUGAAAGACGGUGAUUUACUGCCUUGGGGGGUAUGCGUGUGUAUGAUUAAGGGAUGUAAGUGCAGGACUCCAAGAUUUACUUCCUUCCUGCUCCAGCGGGGAUAGCCGAGGAAAGUGAGUAAUGGGAUAAUUUAUAACACCGCAGGCCCUUCGUCAGGAGACCUCUAGUCAAAACAGGAAGAUCAAACUCAGAAGAUUUCAGCUGGGAGAAGACAACUUUUGAUACUGCCUGGACAUACCUCUUUAUUGCAAGCAGUAGAGGCUUCACAAUUUUUCUGAUUUAGUUUUUCAAGGAGAUUUCCAUGAAAAAGAUGGAUAUAAAAAUUGAACCAGCCAUUUGUUCAAAAUAUCAUCCUUUCCCAAAUGCCCUGCAGAGUCACCUUCAUCAUCAAUCAACUUCCCACCUACAUGAGCUCCUUCUCAUCUCAUGUUUUGGCCUUAGUCCGACGAGCCGGGGCUGAAGUCAGGGUGAAAAGUUCACUCUCCGGAAGUGCUGCUUAAGUCCGAAUCACGUGAGGAGGAGCAGCCCAGGCUCUCGAUGAGAAAACUGAGGUUUAGGAGAUGUGACUUCCCCACGGACACACAGAUAGACUGGUGGAGCAAUGACCCAGCUGUGUCUCCCUGUGUUUGGCCACUGAUCCCAGACGUAUGCUGCUUUUUCCAUCAUCGGGUCAUCCUUGAACAUCCUUCUCAACUGCCCCUGAUCCAUGGAUAGCUGUUCUCUGUUGUCCAUUUCACCAGAUGUCCUUAAAACUAACAGAAAGAAAACGAAAUGGCAAAUGGUUGGGUGCCUUGUCGGUCUGUCCCUGAGGGCAUGGAGAGCCUACAGGCGCAUGCGCCCACGUCUGUAACUUGCUGUUCCUUGUGUCAUAUCAAGUGGAAGUGCGAAGCACCACAAACUGCUUUGAGCAGAGCCCACUUCCCUUCACCCACAGAGAACGUGAAGCAGUUAUACCAACAUCAAUCAAGGAAAACCCACAGGCUGAACUCACACCGUUGAAGCAGGUGAGGAAAUUGAAGAUUCGUCCAAGAGCAGAUAGCUGAUGAGAGAGAGAAAGAAGCAAGAGAACAGCUUACAGCUCAGGUCCUCUUUCUAUGCUCAGGAAUCACCACAAAUGCUACUCUAUUGGACUUCAUUUUGUUUCUUUCUGAAACUCUGCACUCUGUUUGCAAUGGUAUGGCACCGAGCUGCGCUGUUUUGUGUUUCUUUUCUUUUUUUUUUUUUUUAAUUCUGAAGCCAGACCAUCUUGCCUCACAGUUCCAGGGCUGCAUCGCUGUGGGCACGCCAAGCUUCCCCUGGUUACCUGAGCUGCUUCUGCUGUCUCCCCGCCUUGGCUUCGCCGUGGUGCAUCCGAACCCGGAGUCGGUGGUCUGCGCAGUGCGGAAGAAGGACCUGCUCAUGGAGCUCUGGCCAGGGCCCCCUCGCUGCUGGAUGAGGGGACUUGAAGGACAGGGUGAACCUGCAGAAGACCCGGGGUGGGAUGGAUAGAAAGGACGCCAAGGACCGGGGAAGGGGACGUUAGGAAUGCUAUCCGUCCAAUGCCCACCGAUCCUCCGCCGGGCAAGGGCAGCAGCUGCCCCUGCCGUGGGCACCCAGCUCCGGCUGCUCCCAGGGAUUAGUCUGGGGGGAAACCCAUGCCGAGCUGUGGUGGCAUUUUACCUGAGAGUGGAAGUGAAGAUGGAUAAAGCAGGUAUCUGACGUAUCUGCCUGAGGAGGCAGAGUUGGUGAAAGGCAGAGUCAGGGAGCGCAUGAAAAGCAAGAGGAGAUGCCGAAUGCCGUUUGACUGUCUGCCGCUCGCUCUGCAUUCUCAUUCUAGGGAGGAUGGCAUAAUUUAUAACCCAGUACAUGGAUGGAAGAACUGUAAAUUGUAGUGUGGAUGGCCCCGGUGCUGUCAAGGAAGAAACUGAUGGGCUCGGUGACUGUACCAGUGUCCCCAGAGAAAAUAGCAGCCUGGCAGCAUGGAUUUAAAUGCAUGUGCAUGCAUGUAGAGACAUGAAAAAGAAGAGAUUUCUAACCAUUUUGCACAGGAAGUCUGUCACAUUGCUGGAUCGGGCUUGAUUGCAUCUUGUAUUUUCAGCUUCAGCUCAACACCCAUUUCCUGACUAGCUAGAGAGCAUAGCCAAGGCAGCUGCAUGCAGAAUUUUCUUGUUACUGUGAAAGCAAGCCCCCUCAGCUUUAACUCCUUGAAGUUCUGAGUGCUCUGUGCUUUGCUGGGACCGAUUGUGGGGUUUUGUUUUCUUCUUCUUCUACAAAUCCCUGUAAACACAGCUGUAUUCAGUAUGGUGAAAAAUUCUAUCCUGUAAAUAGAAAUCUGAUCAAUUUAAUCAAAAUAAAUGUAUCCCAGAUGACUUUGAGACCAGCUGGCUACCACAGGCUUCAGAUGCUAAAUGUUCAAUGGAGAUGAAGGCAGUGUUAUAUUUACAUGUUUUAGAAUUCCAGGAUCAGCCUAUAAUUGAAAAAAGAAAUCCUUUUCUAAGGAAGAGAGGUAGUCCUACCAGCUUGCAGCUAGAUGGUUAGUACAGGUGCCAAUGCUGUUCAUGUGAUUUGGGAGUUUGGGGUGUUGCAUUUCGCAGGGUGUGAGCCGUGUGGCAGAGUAUCGCCAUAGUCAGUGCGUGUAGAGAAAGCGUGCAUCUAACUUGCUGUAUGGAGAGGCCAGUGCCCUGGGAAUAGCCUCUGGUGAGGUUGGGGGAGGCACUUGAGGCUUAUUUUGGAUUCAGAUGAGUGAGCUGUGGUGCUCCAACCCUAGCUUGGUAGAGUCAGCUCAAAGCUGGGGAUGAGGAGCUUUCCCAGUUGUCAUGGGGAGCUCUUCUGGGACGCCCGUCUGGCCUUUCCACUGUUUGUUACUAUUUCUACAAAGGCUGCUCUGUGUUGGAUUAUGUUUGGCCAGCUGUUGAUGCAUUCCUGCGGG
Diceros bicornis minor is the source of this 3102-nucleotide long non-coding RNA. RefSeq lists it as uncharacterized. The record is from RefSeq and is a predicted model, not a curated record. NCBI's taxonomy places the organism in Eukaryota, Metazoa, Chordata, Mammalia, Perissodactyla, Rhinocerotidae. The transcript has 9 exons.